AUGAACGCUGGCGGCGUGCCUAAUACAUGCAAGUCGAGCGAACAGAUGAGGAGCUUGCUCCUCUGACGUUAGCGGCGGACGGGUGAGUAACACGUGGAUAACCUACCUAUAAGACUGGGAUAACUUCGGGAAACCGGAGCUAAUACCGGAUAAUAUAUUGAACCGCAUGGUUCAAUAGUGAAAGACGGUUUUGCUGUCACUUAUAGAUGGAUCCGCGCCGCAUUAGCUAGUUGGUAAGGUAACGGCUUACCAAGGCAACGAUGCGUAGCCGACCUGAGAGGGUGAUCGGCCACACUGGAACUGAGACACGGUCCAGACUCCUACGGGAGGCAGCAGUAGGGAAUCUUCCGCAAUGGGCGAAAGCCUGUCGGAGCAACGCCGCGUGAGUGAUGAAGGUCUUCGGAUCGUAAAACUCUGUUAUUAGGGAAGAACAAAUGUGUAAGUAACUAUGCACGUCUUGACGGUACCUAAUCAGAAAGCCACGGCUAACUACGUG
Molecule: ribosomal RNA, 496 nt
Filed under: uncultured bacterium
Lineage: Bacteria
Description: partial 16S ribosomal RNA
Rfam family: Bacterial small subunit ribosomal RNA
Source: RNAcentral